UCUGACUUCUGUUUGGCAAAAAUUUGCUUCCAGAAUGUAGGUUCUCUCUUCAACUCAUUGAUUGUUUCUUUUGCUGAGAAGAAGCUUUUUAGUUUGAAUCGAUCCCAUUUAUUCAUAGUACCAUUGAGAGGAUUAAAUGAGAUAGUGCAUACAAAACUCUGGGCAUUAUGUCUGUCAUAUUCACAGAACCCCAUCAAUAAGCCUAUCUAACUUUAACUUCUUUAACCUGUCUCCCUAAUCUCAUCUCUUCUCAUACAUGCAUACUCUAAACCCACAGUCACACUCACCUUAGAUUUUCAAAUAUUUUUGACAGUACUGUUAUAAAGUAGAAGAAGCAAGUAAAUGAAAAGACAGUAUGCAAAUUACCACUGGAAUUCAUUCCACCCCUAUUUUUGCAUUUCAAUCAGAUUCACAUUUCCAAGACCCGGGUCAUAUCUGACAACUCUCCUGGUGAGAGCUACAAUAAAAAACUGACUGGACAUGGUCUCUGAGCCCUUUUAAAAGCUGGGUUUCUUAGUUAUCAUAAUUAACUGAUUUUUGAAUACACAGAGAGCUAUCAGUGAACAGCAUCAGACCUGCAGAAUCAUCAAGUUAAAACUAGGUUGAGCUGCAUGGGAGAGAACUCUCAAGGAGAUUCUAUCACUUCCUGUCUCAGAGCUGAUCGACCAUACUGGAGUGGUUCCUGUGGCAGUGUUUAGAUGGAACAGUGUGUCACCAUUCUCCCAGGAUAGAUUCUGUUAAUGUUUUGAGGGCAGGGUAAAAAUCUAGUGGAGUGUAACUUGCCCAAGUCUCGAUAGGCCUAGCCAAACAGAGUUAGAGAGCUGAAGUGCAGGCAAUGGACAAUAAAAGAUAUAAGAAGGAAGUGAGGGAGGGAAAAAAAGACAGACUUAGAUGGUUGUCAUGCAAAUACCUGGUAUUGCAAGACUAUUUUCUAAGUAUUUGCUAUCUGUUAAGAACUUUCAUUUUCCUCUGAUAUCUACUAUACCCUUUCAGCAAACAUUAUAAAAAAAUUCCAACUGCUCAAUGAAUUUUCAUAAGUGGUAUUAAAAUUGAGAGAAAAGAUUCUCAGUUUCUAGAGAAUUAUAAUAAGCAAUUUGAAAUUUGAAUAGUUGGCAAUUUUUAGAUAUACCAAAUUCACAGUAAAAUCCCAAUCUUCUGUAAAUAAGUGGGCUAUAUAUUCUUAAUAAUGUAGGAUCCAGUAUUACAGGGUGCACACUUUACCCUACUCUGUCUCACAUACUUCUUAGCCUAGAACAUAGACUCCAUUAAAUAAUUUAAAUCUUGCCUCCACACAUAAACAUGCUCAUUAUUACCAUCAAUGCAUCAUGCAGUGACUUCAGAGUUAUCAAAAGUGUGUAGUGUAUUUGCCUUGUGUUAUCUGGCUUCAGUUUGCUGUGUGUUAGGAAUUCUUUCUUUUUUAUUGGGUUUCUGCAUCUUCCUUCUCUGUAAGGCUCUAAGUAUUACAGGAUGUUUCAGACAACACGUCUGCCUGAACUUACCCUUUGACUCCUGCCUGUCAUGGCCAAAAUGUGUGUGUAUGUGGGGCGGGGAGGGGGGAGGACAAGAGCAACAAGAUUUACUUUAUUUUCUUUCCAAAAGUAUGGUGAGUAUCUACUCCAUGUCAAGCUGUACAUGAGAAGUUGGAAUGCACAGAUGCAUAGGCCCAAACUGCUUCUGGGAUAAUGCAUGGAAGAGACAGGCAUUUAUAAAAUCACCAAUGAUGCCAUUCAAAACAGAUUCUGAUAACAUUUGGGGUGAAGUGCUCAGACAGGGAUCUCAGACUCAGCCUAGAGAGACUGACCAGGCAAGAUAGAGGGAGGAGGCAGGUAGGUUGCACAAGGAUAGAGGAUAGAGGGAUAGGUCCUGGGAAAGGUGGGUCUGGUAAGACAGUUCUAGAUCAUUUUUGUCAUACUGAAAUGGGGACUUGAGAGUGGUCAACUCUUUGUUGUUUAAAUUGUAAGUAUCUCAUUUUAAAAGCACUUGUCAACUUGAUCAAGUGCUAUCCUGUUUGAAACUCCUGAGUACAAUGAGAAUAAUGGGAAAGAGGGGUCUAGUUAUGACUGUAAGGUCAAGACACAUCACCUCUGAACUAAGCCUUUAAAGAUGAGCCUGAACAGAUGAAGAACUGGGAAUUAAAUUUUAUCGACUUGACUUCCUCUGGCAUGACGCAUGUGAUUGAUUUGUGUUUGUUUCUCCUUUUCUUCUGAGGGGGCAGGGAUUUGGUGUGCUCUAUUUAUCUGUUGAAUAAAAACUUCAGAAAAAGAUAUUCAAAGACGAUGUGCAUAUAAAAAUCUAAGAUGGGAUGGGUGCAAUUGUCUGGCCUUCUUUCCUUCU
This 2334-nucleotide long non-coding RNA is filed under the name Marmota monax (woodchuck). The record is from RNAcentral. Lineage: Eukaryota; Metazoa; Chordata; Mammalia; Rodentia; Sciuridae.